AUUGAACGCUGGCGGCAGGCUUAACACAUGCAAGUCGAGCGGAGAGAGGUAGCUUGCUACUGAUCUUAGCGGCGGACGGGUGAGUAAUGCUUAGGAAUCUGCCUAUUAGUGGGGGACAACAUUUCGAAAGGAAUGCUGAUACCGCAUACGUCCUACGGGAGAAAGCAGGGGAUCUUCGGACCUUGCGCUAAUAGAUGAGCCUAAGUCGGAUUAGCUAGUUGGUGGGGUAAAGGCCUACCAAGGCGACGAUCUGUAGCGGGUCUGAGAGGAUGAUCCGCCACACUGGGACUGAGACACGGCCCAGACUCCUACGGGAGGCAGCAGUGGGGAAUAUUGGACAAUGGGGGGAACCCUGAUCCAGCCAUGCCGCGUGUGUGAAGAAGGCCUUAUGGUUGUAAAGCACUUUAAGCGAGGAGGAGGCUCUUUUGGUUAAUACCCAAGAUGAGUGGACGGUACUCGCAGAAUAAGCACCGGCUAACUCUGUGCCAGCCGCCGCAGUAA
This 501-nucleotide ribosomal RNA is filed under the name uncultured bacterium. RNAcentral's name for it is "partial 16S ribosomal RNA". It matches the Rfam family "Bacterial small subunit ribosomal RNA", at positions 30 to 523 of the family's 1533-position model. The record is from RNAcentral.